Molecule: ribosomal RNA, 200 nt
Filed under: uncultured bacterium
Lineage: Bacteria
Description: partial 16S ribosomal RNA
Rfam family: Bacterial small subunit ribosomal RNA
Source: RNAcentral
UACGUAGGUGGCGAGCGUUAUUCGGAUUUACUGGGCGUAAAGGGUCCGUAGGGGGAUUUUUAAGUCAGAUGUGAAAUUUCAAGGCUCAACCUUGAACCUGCAUUUGAAACUGAAGAUCUAGAGUUCGGUAGAGGUAAGUGGAAUUUGUGGUGUAGCGGUGGAAUGCGUAGAUAUCACAAGGAACAUCGAAGGCGAAAGCA